This is a non-coding RNA of Notechis scutatus (mainland tiger snake), 89 nucleotides long. Lineage: Eukaryota; Metazoa; Chordata; Lepidosauria; Squamata; Elapidae. The record is from RefSeq and is a predicted model, not a curated record.
CUUGACUUUAUGGGAAGAAUAUUGUUAUGUCUAAACUUCCACCUCUCUAUGCAAACCCGCCUCCCAAAUUCUCAGGCACUAAGAUGGGG